AUGGAGAUCUCUUUCGAGGCGUGGGAGGGGGUGCAGCGCCACGGCCAGGACAUCGCCGACCGCCUCGCGCAGGGCUUCACGGGCCUGCUGCAGGCGCCGCCGCAGUUCCCGUGGCCGCCCGUAUCGCACAAGCUCAUGCCCUUCGAGAUCGACCUCCCCGUCGUGCCCUUCGGCGCCGCGCGGGGCGCCGCCGGCGCCGGCAAGGACUUCUUCCCCACCGCCGCCGUCGCCUCCGUCAUCGACAUCGGCGGCAGGCUCGGCCAGGCCGGCGUCGAGAUUGGCACAUCCGUCGGCGGGGCCGUGCAGCACGCCGUGCGCCAGCUGCCCGUGCCCUUCCGGGGCGCCCAGAUCCGCCGCCGAAAGCUGCAGCCGACGCCUUCUGCGGACGGGGCCGUCGGCCUCUCCUCGGAGAGGGCCGUCGAUAGAUGCCCUCUCGAGGCGGCCGCCGCCGCUGCGGCCGCGGCCACUGGAAGCGCUGCCGCGUCGACUGUCAGUGGUGUUAGAAACGGGGACGACCUUGAUGAAGACGAUGACGGAUAUGGCUGCGAAAUCGGAACCCUCGGAAACUUUAAGAAGUCCAAGGGUACCGUAAAUAUGUCAGCGACAUACAACACCAGGAACAAUGAUAUUGAGAGUUCUGUUGUUGCACGUGGAGACCUGUGGAGGCUAGAGGCAUCACGCAGCGGUUCAACUUCUGGAAACGAUACUUCGCCCCUUUACCUUGUUCAGCUGGGGCCUUUACUAUUUGUUCGUGACUCUACACUCCUAUUGCCUGUUCAUCUGUCAAAGCAACAUCUGCUGUGGUAUGGCUAUGAUCGCAAGAAUGGAGUGCAUUCCCUCUGUCCAGCUAUUUGGUCGAAACAGAGAAGAUGGCUGAUGAUGUCGAUGAUGUGUCUUAACCCAGUAGCUUGCUCCUUUAUGGAUCUACAGUUCCCUAAUGGGCAAGUAACGUACGUUGCUGGAGAAGGGAUAACAGCGAGUGGUUUUGUUCCGUUGUUCGGUGGGUUGCUUCAAGCUCAUGGGAAAUUCCCAGGAGAAACAAGAAUGAGCUUCUCUUGCAAGAACAAGCGAGGCACAAGGUUCACUCCUAUGUUUCAAUGGCCUGACAAAUCUCUUUCACUUGGAGUUACUCAAGCCUUAGCAUAUAAAAGAUCUGGUCUUAUGGUGAGGCCCAGCAUACAAGUCAGUGUAUGCCCUACAUUUGGAGGAAGUGAUCCCGGGGUACGAGCAGAGGUCAUCCAUUCAUUAAAAGAGGAACUAAAUGUGAUGUGUGGUUUAUCCUGCUCAAGAAAUCCGUCAGCUUUUACUGCUCUUUCUAUUGGGCGGUCGAAGUGGAAUGGUCAAGUGGGCAGUUCUGGAGUAGUAGUCACGUUGGAAACACCUCUAAAUAACAUUGGAAGGCCGUCUUUAUCUGUGCAGUUAAAUGGCGGUUUCGAGAUUUGA
This 1443-nucleotide ribosomal RNA is filed under the name Triticum aestivum (bread wheat). RNAcentral's name for it is "partial small subunit ribosomal RNA". Lineage: Eukaryota; Viridiplantae; Streptophyta; Magnoliopsida; Poales; Poaceae. The record is from RNAcentral.